UCCUACGGGGGGCAGCAGUGAGGAAUAUUGGUCAAUGGGCGAGAGCCUGAACCAGCCAAGUCGCGUGAAGGAAGACGGCCCUAUGGGUUGUAAACUUCUUUUGUAGGGGGGUAAAGUGCGCCACGUGUGGUGUAUUGCAAGUACCCUACGAAUAAGGAUCGGCUAACUCCGUGCCAGCAGCCGCGGUAAUACGGAGGAUCCGAGCGUUAUCCGGAUUUAUUGGGUUUAAAGGGUGCGUAGGUGGUCUUAUAAGUCAGUGGUGAAAGUUUGCGGCUCAACCGUAAAAUUGCCAUUGAAACUGUAGGACUUGAGUACAAAUGAGGUAGGCGGAAUGUGUUGUGUAGCGGUGAAAUGCAUAGAUAUAACACAGAACACCAAUUGCGAAGGCAGCUUACUGGGAUGUAACUGACACUGAGGCACGAAAGCGUGGGGAUCAAACAGGAUUAGAUACCCCGGU
Molecule: ribosomal RNA, 457 nt
Filed under: uncultured bacterium
Lineage: Bacteria
Description: bacterial SSU rRNA
Rfam family: Bacterial small subunit ribosomal RNA
Source: RNAcentral